Ctenopharyngodon idella (grass carp) is the source of this 4565-nucleotide long non-coding RNA. RefSeq lists it as uncharacterized. NCBI's taxonomy places the organism in Eukaryota, Metazoa, Chordata, Actinopteri, Cypriniformes, Xenocyprididae. The transcript is spliced from 4 exons. The record is from RefSeq and is a predicted model, not a curated record.
GCUCAUGAAAGUCCAAAAUCCAGUAUUUCAAAAUAUUAGAAUAUUUCCUAAGAUCAAUCAAAAAAUGGAUUUGCAAAACAGAAAAGUUCAAGUUCUUUAAAGUAUGUUCUUUUGUGCACUCAAUACUUGAUCGGCAGGACAUAUUACAGCAAAUGACUUGCUCCUAGCACAAAUUACAGCAUCAGUGAAGUGUGGCAUGGAAGUGAUCAGCCUGUGGCACUGCUGAGGCACUAUUGAGCCUUCAGAUCAUCUGUAUAUUGUUGGAUCGACUGUUUCUCAUCUUUCUCUUGAAAAUAUCCCAUAGAUUCAGGUCAGGCAUAUUGGCUGGCCAAUAAAGCACAGUAAUAUCAUGGUCAGCAAACCACUUAGAAGUGGUUUUUGCACUGUGGGCAGGUGCUAAAGUCCUGCUGGAAAAGGAAAUCAGCAUCUCCAUAAAGCUUGUCAGCAGAUGGAAGCAUAAAGUGCUCCAAAAUCUCCUGGAAGAUGGCUGCAUUGACUUUGCACUUGAUAAAACACAAUGGACCAACACCAGCAGACAUCACGGCCCCCCCAAAUCAUUAUUGACUUCAGAAACUUCACACUAGACUUCAAGCAGCUUGGAUUCUGUGCCUCUCCAGUCUUCCUUCAGACUCUGGGACCAUGAUUUCAACAUGAAAUGCAAAAUUUACUUUUAUCUGAAAAGAGGACUUUCGACCACUGUUCACUGUCCAGUUCUUUUUCUCCUUAGCCCAGGUAAGAUGCUUCUGACGUUGUCUCUGGUUCAGAAGUGGCUUGGUAGUCCUUUUCCUGAAGAUGUCUGAGUGUGGUGACUCUUGAUGCGCUGACUCCGGCUUCAUUCUACUCAUUGUGAAGCUCUCCCAAGUGUUUGAAUCGGCUUUACUUGACAGUAUUCUCAAGCUUGCGGUCAUCCCUGUUGCUUGUGCACCUUUGCCUACCCAAUUUCUUCCUUCCAGUCAACUUUGCAUUUAAUAUGCUUUGAUAUUUCACUCUGUAAACAGCCACCCCAUUCAGUAAUGACCUUCUGUGACUUACUCUCUUUGUGGAGGGUGUAAAUGAUUGUCUCCUGGACCAUUGCCAAGUCAGCAGUCUUCCCCAUUAGUGUGGUUUCAAAGAACAAAAGAUACCCGGAAUUUAUACUGUAGGGAUGGUCAUUUAAUGAAACUCAAAUGUAAAUAUUCUAAUAUUUUGAGAUACUGGAUUUUGGACUUUCAUUAGCUGUACGCUCUAAUCAACUAAUUAAAAAAAAAAAACUUUUGAAAUGUUUUACUUUACAUGUAGGGAAUCUAGAAUAUAUGAAAGUUUCAUUUUUUAAAAUAAUUUACAAUAAAAAAAUGAACUUUUUCACGAUAUUCUAAUUAUAUGACCAGCACCUGUAUUUGGCAAUCGGAAUAUCAGAUAUUUCAUGCUAUAGUUAACAAAUUUGUGAAUAUUUUGAAUAAAAAAGGAAAAAUUUAAUAAAAGCAGAUCAUCAGUCAUACAGCGCUGUGGUGUGUUAUGUGACAAGCAAUGACGCGUCACCAUGGAAACAAUAAAGUGAUACGUUCUAAAUAACGGUUGCCUUAAAAAACUCACGCUGGGGGGUCAGACAGAAUAUUUUAAACUUACGUGCGAAAGGGUUAAAAUGAUACUGAAUAUUGAUCAUUUUCAAGGUAUUUUAUUGAAGUUAGAAAUUCCAGUAUCGUGACUCCUAAUUCAUGCACUUUGUCAAUAAGGUGAAAGUGCUUUGUUUAAAGUAGCUAUUUUCUACUUAGAUCUAUGAUUUGAUUGAAUAUUUUUUGAUAAUUUAUUAAAUAUCGCUGGCUAAAAAGUAAUUAGUAAUUUUAGUACUUUGAGUAGUUUUUGAGAAGAGUAAUUUGUACUUUUACUAGAGUACUGUUUUGACACCAGUACUCUUACUUGUAAUUGAGUAUUACUUCAGCAAUGUAACAGUACUUGUACUUAAGUACAAAUUUUCAGUACUCUUUCCACCACUGCCAAUUUGUUUCCAAAUUCUGGAAAGAAUUUUGUUGGUUGCUAGGGGCGAAUGUGAGCCUUUCUUCUGGGUUUCAUCCCCAGAGCAACGGUCAAACUGAGAGGGCCAACCAAGACUUGGAACGGGUGUUGCAAUGUUUGGUCUCUCAGAAUCCGUCCUCCUGGUGCCAACAGCUCUCAUGGAUUGAGUAUGCGCAUAACUUGUUACCAGUAUCGUCCACGGGCCUCUCUCCAUUUGAAGGUAGCCUAGGUUACCAGCCACCUAUUUUUAAGAACCUGGAAUCCGAGGUCGCGGUCCCCUCCGCUCACGCUUUUGUCCAAAGGUGUCAUCACACCUGGAGGAAGGCCAGAUUGGCUCUCCUCCGGGUGCGAGAGCGCACUAAGGCUCAGGCCGAUCGCCACCGGUCUGAGCCUCCCGAAUACGUCAUUGGUCAAAAAGUGUGGCUUCUACUCAGAACAUUCCUCUCCGCACCGUUUGUAAUAAGCUUGCUCCCAAAUUUAUUGGCCCAUUCACUGUCACUAAGAUCAGUCCUGUGGCAGUCCGCCUCAAAAUUCCUCCGGUAUACAGGAGAAUUCAUCCGGUGUUUCAUGUAUCCAAAUUAAAACCUGUGUUUCGUUCACCCAUUAAUUUGCCUGCCCCGUACCAUUUGGGAACCAUUUGGUCCCCACAAUGUAAUAUAAACCUGUACACACACACAAACACACAGACACACACACACACACACUUUGAACAUAAUGGUUAUCAUCUAAGAAUUUUGAAAAUUUACCAAUUGCUUGUGAAAAUUUUGCCAAAGCAAUUGGAAAAAAAACAAAGACAAAAAUCAAUCAAACUCCAGGCAGAGGGUGAAUUGACUGCAUAUUGUGUUAAAACAACAUGAAUUGUGUUAAUGGUGUGGUCACAACAGACGGAUGUUGAGCUAACUGUGUUUAGAGUUUUGAAAAUGUGACUACAGAUUGAACAAAUGUAUGUUAGCAAUUGAAAAAAAGCUGUAAUAAAAUCGUAACUGCCUGCGCAUCGUUCAUUAUCAUUAUAUUAUCAUUGCCACAACCACCCGUGACAAUAUUGAGUUGAAUACAGUUGUCAGUCAACACUGCUCAUCACUUGCUUAGAUGAUUGACAGAUGAAACUGACAGACACUUUGUCAUAGUGAGCAGCAGUUAUUUGAGCAGCUGCCUGAUUUUUAUAUUGUACAAACUGUAUAUUCCCUCCCCUAACCCUACCCCUAAACCUAGAAAACUAACCUAAAAAACCCACAGAAAACUUUCUGCAUUUUUACAUUUUCAAAAAACAUCACUUAGUAUUAAAUCACAAUGAUCACAACAGCAUCUAUGUGGAUAAACUGUGGAUCAUUAAUAAACACAGUAAAACAGAUAAAAAACUGUGAUUUCACACCAUGUCACAAUAUCAGAAUGUGCAGACUGUGAAUCACUCACAAAGACAGUUGAUCAUCUGUUUGAAUAUAAAGAGGUUUAAAUAAAAUCAGAAUUACUUCAGCUCAGCAUUAAAGUCUCAGAAGUGACCAAUGACACAUCAUAAGACCACACACAAACAUAAAAACAACUAAAGAAAGAUAAACACUCACCUCAGAUCAUUCUGUUUCCUCUGAACUGUUGUACAGCAGCUGUGGAUUUUCUUUCACGUCUAGAAUACCAGCAACUGUUUUCAGGACGAGACGUGAGAACGAAAAGAAUGAUGGUCUGACAUGUUAACACAAGCACUCACUCUGACAUGGUCUGUUACUCAUAAAGAUUCAUUCUCAGGAAACUGCUUGUAGGAUUAUCCAGGUGACGUAUGGGUUUGGCACUACAACUCCCAUAAGUCUUUGGGGCAAUUAUAAGAAUUGCGUCAUUACGUCGUUGGCGUGCUAUAAAAAGACGCACGGAAAUAUAGCACGUCCUCGUUUCAUUCAUUCAUUGACUCUGGAAACAAGCGUGAGCUAGCCUCAAGUAACUUAUGGUCUGUUUAUAAAGAGACGUACAGAAACGUAGCUCGCCCUCGUUUCAUUCAUUCAUUGACUGAGGAAAUAAGCGUGAGCUUGCAUCAGGUCACCUUUAUGUGCGGGGCAUAAGGCAGUCGUAUAUAUUUGUUUUAUAGAGGUAAUGGGUUUAUGUAAAGAUAAUAGUAGGUUAAUUUGGGUGGGCAGAAAGUCAUUUUAUCUUGUUGCAUUUCAGAAGCCCUUGUGUGUUGAUGGUGAUUGGCCUGGUGAUGCAGUCUUCAGAGUGUUGAAUGAGUUGAGAACAAAUUAGGUUUCUUUUAAAGAAGAACCGUCUGGUUGAUUUAUUCUUCCCUUUUCUUAAAUCCAGUUCAUUUAAAGUUUUUCAUCAUUUCCAUGGCAGCUGCAGGAUCUCCUCCAAGGGUGUGACUGGCACUGGUGAGGUGGUGGGCAUUCUUUUGUGAUUCCUGGUGAUUUAUUUAUCCUUUUGAGUGCCGUGGAUUUUGUGCUGUAUUUGGAGUGUGCACUGCGAGUAGUGGCUCUAUUUUUCUACACACGUAUGGUUGUACCCUGUUGGAGCCCUGCGGUUCGUCAUAAAUUUGUUUUGUUUUUGUUCUUUUUCCUUGCUGAAUAAAAGCUUGUACAAGCAAUACAUUUUCA